GACGAACGCUGGCGGCGUGCUUAACACAUGCAAGUCGAACGGAAAGGCCCUGCUUUUGUGGGGUGCUCGAGUGGCGAACGGGUGAGUAACACGUGAGUAACCUGCCCUUGACUUUGGGAUAACUUCAGGAAACUGGGGCUAAUACCGGAUAGGAGCUCCUGCUGCAUGGUGGGGGUUGGAAAGUUUCGGCGGUUGGGGAUGGACUCGCGGCUUAUCAGCUUGUUGGUGGGGCAGUGGCUUACCAAGGCUUUGACGGGUAGCCGGCCUGAGAGGGUGACCGGCCACAUUGGGACUGAGAUACGGCCCAGACUCCUACGGGAGGCAGCAGUGGGGAAUAUUGCACAAUGGGCGGAAGCCUGAUGCAGCAACGCCGCGUGCGGGAUGACGGCCUUCGGGUUGUAAACCGCUUUCGCCUGCGACGAAGCGUGAGUGACGGUAAUGGGUAAAGAAGCACCGGCUAACUACGUG
This 468-nucleotide ribosomal RNA is filed under the name uncultured bacterium. RNAcentral's name for it is "partial 16S ribosomal RNA". It matches the Rfam family "Bacterial small subunit ribosomal RNA", at positions 28 to 507 of the family's 1533-position model. The record is from RNAcentral.